Molecule: ribosomal RNA, 442 nt
Filed under: uncultured Sphingobacteriales bacterium
Lineage: Bacteria; Pseudomonadati; Bacteroidota; Sphingobacteriia; Sphingobacteriales
Description: bacterial SSU rRNA
Rfam family: Bacterial small subunit ribosomal RNA
Source: RNAcentral
AGCAUGUGUUUAAUUCGAUGAUACGCGAGGAACCUUACCUGGGCUCAAAUGUAUGUUGACGUAUUCUGAAAGGGAUACUUCUUCGGACAAUAUACAAGGUGCUGCAUGGUUGUCGUCAGCUCGUGCCGUGAGGUGUCGGGUUAAGUCCCAUAACGAGCGCAACCCCUAUCAUUAGUUGCCAUCAGGUCAAGCUGGGGACUCUAAUGAAACUGCCUACGCAAGUAGUGAGGAAGGUGGGGAUGACGUCAAAUCAGCACGGCCCUUACGUCCAGGGCUACACACGUGCUACAAUGGCCGGUACAAAGGGCAGCUACCUGGUGACAGGAUGCUAAUCUCAAAAGCCGGUCUCAGUUCGGAUCGGAGUCUGCAACCCGACUCCGUGAAGCUGGAAUCGCUAGUAAUCGUGGAUCAGCAUGCCACGGUGAAUACGUUCCCGGGCCUU